UCCACCAUGGCGCAGCCGGGAGCGCACGGGGCCCUUAUGAAUAUAUGACCUCGAGGUCACUCGAUCGAAACGAGUUGGUGGUA
Non-coding RNA from Mycena sp. CBHHK59/15, 83 nucleotides. Lineage: Eukaryota; Fungi; Basidiomycota; Agaricomycetes; Agaricales; Mycenaceae. The record is from the annotation of a GenBank genome assembly.